This 3488-nucleotide unclassified non-coding RNA is filed under the name Daphnia pulicaria. RNAcentral describes it as "recombining binding protein suppressor of hairless- like, transcript variant X1". Lineage: Eukaryota; Metazoa; Arthropoda; Branchiopoda; Diplostraca; Daphniidae. The record is from RNAcentral.
GGAAUCAGCACGCGCCCAGUGGCCGUCCUUGUCUCGUAACAUCCGUCGAUCUCAACGGAAUUUGGUUUAUCUCGUCGCCCAGUGAAUUUCGGUUUAUCCAGUGAAUUUGGUUUUUUGGACACAUGUGACAGUUUUUAGCCAUUGACAAUCGUCAACAUUUUUCGCAGUGAAAUAUAUCGGAACGAAGUUUUUAAUAAAAGAAAUUUGGACAAAAUGCCCGACGUUGCGCCCAGCACAAUGGACCUCGACUCGGAGCCCUACACACCCAGCGCACGUAGUCCGCUCGCCGAUACUUGGGCCCAUUACGGGUUCAGUUUAAGUGGCGGUUACGAGGCCCAGCACAGCCGCGAGUCUGUGGAUUUGAUCGGCGGAGUCAACAACAGUGUGGCCGUGACAUCGGUGGCCGGAACGGUCGGCUCAUCCGGUUCGACAGUCGUCGGCGUGGGACACGGAAGCGGCGGUGAGGUGGACGUUUGGUCCAAUUCGCACGAUCCUUAUUCGCCCCACAAUCACCACCACCAUCAGCAGCAGCAGCAGCAACAACAACAACAUCACCACCAGCAUCAUCACCAACAACAACAACAUGCCGCUUAUUACGGACAGUCUGUGGGUGGAGGGCAGGUGAUGACGGAAUUGCUGACAGCUACUCAUCCGCCGUCUUCUUACAACCUCAACCAGCCUCAACAACAACAACAACAGCAGCAACAACAACAACAACCGUUCACUCCUACCGAACAGCACCCGGUCGAUUUGUCGAAUUCUCAGCAACGACCUCCCAAUCCGGCCGUUUCAGCCGCCACUUCGGCCGCCUUUUACGGUCUCUCGGCCGCCGACUACAACAGCCCCGCAACCUCGUCCAGUCAACGUCAGCGCGGAGGCAACGACACCUACAAACCCAACGGACUCAGCCUUUCGCUGGGCAUCCCCGAUUCCGUUGUCGGAGCGGGCGGAUUGAUUCCGGGCUCUUUGACUCCACCGGACAAGGUGGUCGGAGCAUCCGGUGAUUUGAGCGGCGGUCAUUUGCUCAAUCAGCAACAGCAACAUCAUCAUCACCAACAGCAGCAGCAGCAGGGGGCUCAGCAACAACAGCAGCAACAACAACAACAUCAUAACCCUUACGCCCUGGCGCAUCCCAGUUCGGCCAUGGCUCCGACUCUGCAGACUCCGCCGUCGCCUCUUUCGACUCCGUCGCCACCCGUGCCCAUCGAUCGAUACGGGCCGACCGGAUCGGCGUAUAGGGGCGGAACCAAGGAGCAGCGGCUGACCCGUGAGGCGAUGAUGCGCUACCUGCAGGAGCACGGCGACAUGGUCGUGGUCAUCCUGCACGCUAAAGUGGCCCAGAAGUCGUACGGCAACGAGAAGCGCUUCUUCUGCCCGCCGCCGUGCAUCUACCUCUACGGCGACGGAUGGCGGAGGAGGCGCGAGGCCAUCCAGCGCGAAGCCGCCGCCAACGGGGCCUCGCCCGCAGAAGCCGAAGCCGCCUCGCAGCUCUGCGCUUUCAUCGGCAUCGGCAAUUCCGACCAGGAUAUGCAGCAACUCGACCUCAACGGAAAAAGUUAUUGCGCGGCCAAGACGCUGUUCAUUUCCGACUCUGACAAGCGCAAGCAUUUCAUGCUGUCGGUGAAAAUGUUUUACGGCAACGGCCAGGAUAUCGGCGUCUUCCACAGCAAGCGGAUUAAAGUCAUUUCUAAACCGUCCAAGAAGAAGCAGUCGCUCAAGAACGCCGAUCUGUGCAUCGCCAGCGGGACCAAAGUGGCCCUGUUCAAUCGACUCCGCUCGCAAACGGUCAGCACUCGUUACCUGCACGUGGACAAUAACAAUUUUCACGCCAGUUCCACCCAAUGGGGCGCCUUCACCAUUCAUUUAUUGGACGACAGCGAAUCCGAGUCGGAAGAGUUUACGGUGCGCGACGGCUACAUCCAUUACGGCAGCACGGUCAAGCUGGUGUGCAGCGUGACGGGCAUGGCCCUACCCCGGCUCAUCAUCCGCAAAGUGGACAAGCAGAUGGCCGUUUUGGACGCCGACGACCCCGUCUCGCAGCUGCACAAGUGCGCCUUCUACAUGAAAGACACGGAGCGGAUGUACCUGUGCCUCAGCCAGGAGCGCAUCAUCCAGUUCCAGGCGACGCCGUGCCCCAAGGAGCCCAACAAGGAAAUGAUCAACGACGGAGCCGCCUGGACCAUCAUCAGCACCGACAAGGCCGAGUACCAGUUCUACGAGGGCAUGGGACCCGUCCGCAGUCCCGUCACCCCCGUCCCCAUCGUCCACUCGCUCCACUUGAACGGUGGCGGCGAUGUGGCCAUGUUGGAGCUGAUGGGCGAAAAUCUGACACCCAAUUUGAAAGUGUGGUUUGGCGACGUGGAGGCCGAGACCAUGUUCCGCUGUGAGGAGUCGAUGCUGUGCGUCGUGCCCGAUAUUUCAGCUUUCCGUUCCGGUUGGCAGUGGGUCCGCGGACCGACUCAGGUUCCCAUAUCUUUGGUGAGGAGUGACGGUGUCAUCUACGCCACCAGGUUGACGUUCACCUACACACCGGAGCCUGGACCGAGGCCGCAUUGCCCUCCGGCCCAGGAAGUCUUGCAGCGCGGGGUUGUAGCCGGAUCUAACAAUGCCGUCAAUCCGAUGGCACUCGGCUACGACAACCAACACAUGCAUCAUCAACAACAGCCGCAACAACAGCAACAACACCACCAGCCAAUGUGAAAUUAGAGGGGAACAAAAAAAGAGAAAAACUUUUUGUGACGGCCCGGAAGAAAUAUUUGUAUUUUGCUGGCGUUCUUUGGCUGCUUAAUUAUGCAAAAAGAAAAUAUCUGGAGGAGCGGCUUCGAUGUUUUUUGGGGCUUUCGGAUCGAACGAGAAAACGAGCAUUUCGUUUUUGUUGUUUCGUCCAAUUUUUUUUUUUUUUUUUGUAAUACCAUUAUUAUUAUUAAUUAAUUAGAAUUAUAAUUAUUUGCAAUUUUGUUGAAUUCGUUUCACUCCGGUAUGGUCCUUAAUUAUUAUUUUUUUUUUCUUUUCAUUGACAAAAAAAAAAUUAGUGAAAAGAAAAGAAUUUUCCAAUUUUGUGUGGGUUUUCCUUAUUUUUUGUGAUUCCCGGGCUCGGUGAAAACGUGUGUCGUCUACCAUAAAAGAAAAAAAACGGAUUAAUGAGGAUGGGAAUGUUUAUAUCAUUAUGCCCUUUCAUUUUGCGUUUCUAUUUUUUAUUUUGUGAGUCUUGAGUGCGUGUGUGUUCCCCCCCCCCCAUUUUCUCCACGACAAAACGAGAGGUCCAUCUUUUGUUCGUUCGUUUAUUUUGUCUCCCUCCCAUGAUUGCUAUAACUGCCUUAUAAUAAUAUGAAUAAUUAAUUAAUAACAAUUGAUUUUGUACAGUGUUGAGCGUGCUAGUUAAGUGAGAUUAUCUUCGUGCUUGCUUUCUUUUUUGCGAUGACGACGGCGAAAUGUGUCCGUGACCGUGUGCAGAGCAGGCAAUAUACAGACAGAAUGUCAAACGACUA